CAAUCACUUGUCUUUUAAAUGAAGACCCGUAUGAAUGGCAAGACGAGGGCUUAGCUGUCUCCUUUCUCAAGUCAAUGAAAUUGAUCUUCCCGUGCAGAAGCGGGAAUUAUAACAUAAGACGAGAAGACCCUAUGGAGCUUUAGACACCAAGAUAGACCACGUCAAAGCCCCCUACCCAAGGAACUGAACUAAGUGGCCCCUGUCCUAAUGUCUUUGGUUGGGGCGACCACGGGGAAACACAAAACCCCCGCGUGGAAUGGGAGCACUACACUCCUACAACUAAGAGCUUCCGCUCUAAUAAACAGAAUUUCUGACCAACAAGAUCCGGCAACGCCGAUCAACGAACCGAGUUACCCUAGGGAUAACAGCGCAAUCCUCUUUUAGAGCCCA
This 390-nucleotide ribosomal RNA is filed under the name Cynoscion regalis (gray weakfish). Its description in RNAcentral is "partial 16S ribosomal RNA". It matches the Rfam family "Bacterial large subunit ribosomal RNA", at positions 1962 to 2502 of the family's 2925-position model. Lineage: Eukaryota; Metazoa; Chordata; Actinopteri; Sciaenidae. The record is from RNAcentral.